Molecule: ribosomal RNA, 497 nt
Filed under: uncultured bacterium
Lineage: Bacteria
Description: partial 16S ribosomal RNA
Rfam family: Bacterial small subunit ribosomal RNA
Source: RNAcentral
GAUGAACGCUGGCGGCGUGCCUAAUACAUGCAAGUCGAGCGAACAGACGAGGAGCUUGCUCCUCUGACGUUAGCGGCGGACGGGUGAGUAACACGUGGAUAACCUACCUAUAAGACUGGGAUAACUUCGGGAAACCGGAGCUAAUACCGGAUAAUAUAUUGAACCGCAUGGUUCAAUAGUGAAAGACGGUUUUGCUGUCACUUAUAGAUGGAUCCGCGCCGCAUUAGCUAGUUGGUAAGGUAACGGCUUACCAAGGCAACGAUGCGUAGCCGACCUGAGAGGGGGAUCGGCCACACUGGAACUGAGACACGGUCCAGACUCCUAAGGGAGGCAGCAGUAGGGAAUCUUUCGCAAUGGGCGAAAGCCUGACGGAGCAACGCCGCGUGAGUGAUGAAGGUCUUCGGAUCGUAAAACUCUGUUAUUAGGGAAGAACAAAUGUGUAAGUAACUAUGCACGUCUUGACGGUACCUAAUCAGAAAGCCACGGCUAACUACGUG